Molecule: ribosomal RNA, 633 nt
Filed under: Penicillium cinerascens
Lineage: Eukaryota; Fungi; Ascomycota; Eurotiomycetes; Eurotiales; Aspergillaceae
Description: eukaryotic LSU rRNA
Rfam family: Eukaryotic large subunit ribosomal RNA
Source: RNAcentral
UUGACCUCGGAUCAGGUAGGGAUACCCGCUGAACUUAAGCAUAUCAAUAAGCGGAGGAAAAGAAACCAACAGGGAUUGCCUCAGUAACGGCGAGUGAAGCGGCAAGAGCUCAAAUUUGAAAGCUGGCCCCCUCGGGGUCCGCAUUGUAAUUUGCAGAGGAUGCUUCGGGAGUGGCCCCCAUCUAAGUGCUCUGGAACGGGCCGUCAUAGAGGGUGAGAAUCCCGUAUGGGAUGGGGUGUCCGCGACCAUGUGAAGCUCCUUCGACGAGUCGAGUUGUUUGGGAAUGCAGCUCUAAAUGGGUGGUAAAUUUCAUCUAAAGCUAAAUAUUGGCCGGAGACCGAUAGCGCACAAGUAGAGUGAUCGAAAGAUGAAAAGCACUUUGAAAAGAGAGUUAAAAAGCACGUGAAAUUGUUGAAAGGGAAGCGCUUGCGACCAGACUCGCCUACGGGGUUCAGCCGGUAUUCGUACCGGUGUACUUCCCCGUGGGCGGGCCAGCGUCGGUUUGGGCGGCCGGUCAAAGGCCCUCGGAAUGUAACGCCUCUCGGGGCGUCUUAUAGCCGAGGGUGCCAUGCGGCCAGCCCGGACCGAGGAACGCGCUUCGGCACGGACGCUGGCAUAAUGGUCGUAAGCGAC